Molecule: ribosomal RNA, 467 nt
Filed under: uncultured bacterium
Lineage: Bacteria
Description: partial 16S ribosomal RNA
Rfam family: Bacterial small subunit ribosomal RNA
Source: RNAcentral
ACGAACGCUGGCGGCGUGCUUAACACAUGCAAGUCGAACGGAAAGGCCCUGCUUUUGUGGGGUGCUCGAGUGGCGAACGGGUGAGUAACACGUGAGUAACCUGCCCUUGACUUUGGGAUAACUUCAGGAAACUGGGGCUAAUACCGGAUAGGAGCUCCUGCUGCAUGGUGGGGGUUGGAAAGUUUCGGCGGUUGGGGAUGGACUCGCGGCUUAUAAGCUUGUUGGUGGGGUAGUGGCUUACCAAGGCUUUGACGGGUAGCCGGCCUGAGAGGGUGACCGGACACAUUGGGACUGAGAUACGGCCCAGACUCCUACGGGAGGCAGCAGUGGGGAAUAUUGCACAAUGGGCGGAAGCCUGAUGCAGCAACGCCGCGUGCGGGAUGACGGCCUUCGGGUUGUAAACCGCUUUCGCCUGUGACGAAGCGUGAGUGACGGUAAUGGGUAAAGAAGCACCGGCUAACUACGUG